Molecule: transfer RNA, 71 nt
Filed under: Heterocephalus glaber (naked mole-rat)
Lineage: Eukaryota; Metazoa; Chordata; Mammalia; Rodentia; Bathyergidae
Rfam family: tRNA
About the family: Transfer RNA (tRNA) molecules are approximately 80 nucleotides in length. Their secondary structure includes four short double-helical elements and three loops (D, anti-codon, and T loops). Further hydrogen bonds mediate the characteristic L-shaped molecular structure. tRNAs have two regions of fundamental functional importance: the anti-codon, which is responsible for specific mRNA codon recognition, and the 3' end, to which the tRNAs corresponding amino acid is attached (by aminoacyl-tRNA synthetases). tRNAs cope with the degeneracy of the genetic code in two manners: having more than one tRNA (with a specific anti-codon) for a particular amino acid; and 'wobble' base-pairing, i.e. permitting non-standard base-pairing at the 3rd anti-codon position.
Source: Rfam by way of RNAcentral
GGGGGUGUAGCUCAUUGGUAGAGUAGGUGCAUAACACACAAGAAUGCCUGGGUUCAAUCCUGGCACCCCCC